CCGGCAACGGAAUAUAUUUGUACUUCGAGAUCAUUUUGUUCCUGUUUUGGCGCGGAUUCUUCUUUCCUUUGUAAUCCACCUAGGGUUCUUUUCUUCUUUAAUUCUCCUUCCUCCUCUCGUCCUCCUCCUCCUCCUCCAACAGCAGCAGUAACCACCACCACCUCCUCGACACCGAUGAUCCCACCCCCUUGCCAUCAUCACUAUCUCCCCCACGCCUUAUGAUUGCUUCUUCUCCUUUCUCCCCUUGCAGGGCUCUGUUUCUUGGAUGUUGUUCGAUCCGCCUACCUCGCGACCGAGCCGCCUCGGCUCCCUAUUGCUGCGCAGUGCUGCUAUGCUAGAUUGUACUUGAUGAAAUCGGACAAGCCUCAAAGGCCAUCUAGUGGAUUUGGGAAGCUUGUUCUUGUUAAAAAGGCAUGUUCACCAUUUAAUCUUGCAGUAGGUGGAGAGGGGACUGGAACGGAUUCGUGCUAUUCGUUUGACUCUUCUGGUGAGAUACACUUCUCUAUUUGCAGAUACUGGUUUUAUUGCUGCAUGCCGCUUUGUGGAAUUAUGGGCUGCUUCUGAGUUCAAUAGUAAGAGUAAAGAGUAUAGAUUAGUAAGAAGAAUUAUUCAUCUUCUCCUUUAGCGUAAUUAUAACAUAAGAUUCCCAUAAACAUACCAUCUAGGGAAACACUAGCACCUCAAGAAUCUUUUUUAUUAGGAUGAACAAUGGCCUACUCCUAACAGGACACCAAAUUUUUAGUACAUUCUAUUCCCUCAGAGAAUAAACUGUUUUCUUUGUUUAAUGAUUUUUCUAAUAGGAAAACAAGCUCGUCUAGAUUGGAAAACCCUUUCUUGAACAUUUUUGAACAUGCAAAUGAAUUAGGGAGUUGGAUACAGACCAUAUGAUUCUCAAUGAAAUGACAGCCCAAAGAUGUAGCAAUCAUUAAGGUGGAGUUGGUUCAGGUUAUAAGUAAUUGUCUAUUUGAAGUAUUUAUAAAUUUUAACAGCAAAAGAAAGAGUAAAUUAAAUGGUUUGAUAAUAGUAAUAGUAAUAUAAAUUGUUUAAAGCUGUCACUAUGGCAGUGCCCUGAUCCUGUUUGUAGCCUCUAGUCUAUGGUUAUGGCUUAAAACUAGUAUAAUGAUAUCCUUGUGGACAUUGUUUGGUCAGUAGAAUAUCUCUUUUUGUUGAGAUUAUUAAGCAAAAUAAAAUACUUUGGGCAGUCAGAACUAGAGGGGGGAAGGAGGCAGCAAACACUAUCAGAAAGAGGAGUCACUUAGAAAUUUGGUUUCAAAAAAUUCUUAGUUGACUUGUAUAAAUACACUAUUCUAUGCGGAAAUUUGUUUUUGAUAAAUUCUUAAUUGACUUAUUUAAAUACACUAUUAUAUCUCCUGUGGUUUAAUCUUAUUUUUGGACAAAGCUGAUGAAGCAUAUUCAAGAAGACAAUCUUGUCCCCCAAAACCUAAUGCUUUUUGUGGGUUUUUGUUUGUUUUAUUGGCAUUUGUAUAUCUUUAGACAAAGCUGAUAGAGCAUCUGGUUUCCCCCCCCUAAAACUACAUAUUUUUCCUGGUAUUUUGUUUGUUCUAUUGGAAUUCUUGAUAUCAGACAUGAGGGUAAUGCUGUCGUUUGGGUUAACAAUGCCCGCGUGCUGUGGUGGCCACCACCUGAUAUGAUGUUUGUUGCAAUCUGGAAUUUUGAUUUUUUUUGCUUUCAAAUUAUUCUUUUUGAUAAAGCAGAUGUUUGAUUGCUAAGAUUAAUAGGUGGAAUUUACUCCUGCAUGUUCAUUUUAUUUUCUAUUGUGGCUACACUUAAUUGUUUAUGAAUGGAAAUUCCUUUUUAUCUUUUUUGAUAA
This is a long non-coding RNA of Musa acuminata AAA Group (dessert banana), 1831 nucleotides long. RefSeq lists it as uncharacterized. The transcript is spliced from 3 exons. The record is from RefSeq and is a predicted model, not a curated record. Lineage: Eukaryota; Viridiplantae; Streptophyta; Magnoliopsida; Zingiberales; Musaceae.